CAAAAGUAGGAUGCAGGGUCUCACCCAGGGCCUGUGGGCUCAGAACGUCACAGUAAAUCCUCCUCUACCCGGGGCCCCUUGGCAGUCUGGCUUCCUGCUGCACCACUGGCCCCUCCUCCCCCACGCCCCACCCCCCGCAGUGCCGGGACCUCCUGGCUGCAGCUCCACACUCAGGCUCACCUGCCCCUGCAUCAUGCCUUUGCACCAGCUGAUACAUGGACUGCACUCCGCUACGUGACUGGGGGUUACCCUCCCCACCCCCAACUGUUGUGUGACACUUUUCCAGUGAGGCCGACUGGAAGUAAAACACCUUAUCGAAAAUAACCACUGAUCCUCCACAGUCCCCCUUCAUGUGACUUUUCCCGCAAAUGAUCAAAUCUGCUGUCACACAGAUACAUUUGUUUCCUGUGGUCUUUCUUUGCACCCUCCCCUACCCCAGAAUGCCAGCAUCUUGAGGGCAGACACUUGAUCUGUAUUUUUCUUUGGCCACUCCCAUGGCAUACGGAAGUUCCCAGGCCGGGGACAGAACUUGUGCCACAGCAGCAACCCAAUACGCAGUAGUAACAACACGAUCCUUAACCCAAUGAACACGGAUCCUUAACCCAAUGAGCCACCAGGGAACUCCUUGAUCUGUUUUAUUCAAUACUCUAUCUCCAGUGUCUAGAACACACCUGGUACACAGUUGGAGCUCACUCCGUAUUUGUCAAUGAAUGAAGUUUUAUUCUCCUGUUUCAUACUCUGAGGUUUACUUAGAAUAGUGCCCCAUCAGCAGUCUUUAGAACAGGAGUGCCCAGGAAACAGAAAGGGGCUGGUUUCUGUUCGUUUUGUGGUGGUGGCUGGUUUGUUUAUAGGGGUAGGAGACACCUGGGCCCUGGAAGCUUUUCUUUGCUUAAUUUAUUCCAAUCUAGUGUGUGUGCCAUCAAGCAGACAGGACACAAAAACCACUUAGGAGAUCUGUUCUGAUCAGCCCAGAGAGACAGGCUUUGGGGCAGGGUUGUAAGAUCAUGCUGACCAGGGAAUAUCUGGCUGAGCUCUGCCCCACCCCACCCCCGGCAGAAAGGUUCCUAUUUCUGGCGCCCAGAAAUCUCACAACAGAGCAUUAAAAAAUAACUUUUAAAAAAACUACCAGUUUCUUUCUUUUCCUGAAAGCCGGUCACUUAAGGGAGAACUACCACAUCCCAAAUGGCAGGGCCAGCCUCACAGAGCACUGCUAACUACAGCAAUGCCUUUCCAGCGACCACUUGUGCCACGCACACAGCCAGGAGCUGGGCACUGGAGAGGCUGGGAAUGGCCCUGAGCUCCAUGAGGCCCCUUGUCAUCUGAUUCUCCCAGGUCAGAGGUCUAAAUGCGAUGAGAUGGACGGCUGGGGGAGGGGCUGGGGGAGACCGAGGGGCUCAGGUGGAAGCAGCUCCAGGUGGUGACCCCAGCGGGUAGGGCUAGAAGGCAGGUGGGGUCACUUCUCUUAAAAGUAAACGCUUAAUUCUCAGAAGCCAGCAGAAAAGGCAAGGGCUGAGGUUCAUUUUCCACCAGCCCUGCUGGAACAGGAGCAGCAUGGAGCUAUGGAUGCUGCCCAGCCAGGCACUGUACCCUGCACUCCUGGUACCUAAACCCAGGGAGGAAAAUGACAAAGGAAAGGAUGCAAAGACAGGGGGGAGAGGGCAAUUCAAGAACCCAAGAGAUGCCCCCAAACUCUUCUGGUCCCCAGCAACCCAAUUGUUUCCUAUCAUCCUCAAAGCCAGGCCACCUUCCCCAGGGGGAAAUGCCUUCCUGUCCCCACUCACGGUGGCGCUGCACGCACACAUGGUGCCUCUACUCUGCCCCAGGAGCCUGGCUUGUGGCUUUGAGAGUGGUUGUUACACUUUGCUGGUGGUGCCCAGCCUGCCCACUGGCUCCCUCACUCUGGGAGGGGGGCUGGAGACUGGGAUGGGUUGUGGUUGAGCAGCCCCAACUCCUGGGGGAAGUGGCCUGGCUGCUGCAAGAAGUGCCCAAAGAGAAGUGCCCAAGGGCAGAGGGGGUGGUGGUGGGGAGCCCGCUUCCUUUGCUUUCCUUGACUCGAGCCGAAUGGGAGAUUAUCUAGCAGCUCCUCCCUGAUCGCAGGGGCACAUUUUCCCUCAUCCUGCAGUAGGAAACGCCGCCCAUCGCCCACAGUGCACAACUCGGGCCCCCAGCUGUGGGGCCUGCAGGGCUCAUCCGGGUGGGGCACCCGGCCCCUAGGCUGCAGGGGAAGGGACCGGUCCCACCCAACCCGUGGAGGCAAGUGGUGAAGGCACCAGGACACCACACUCCAGCCCCACAAGACUGGCUUGGUUGAUAAGGGGGGAAAAAUAGACACUCCAAGCCUGCCCAGGAUGGGGUGAAAGGGCUGGAUAGGCUAGAGGAGGGAUCGGUGUCUUCCUCAUUCUGGGAAUGACAUUUUUUGUGGCCUAUCGCAUGUCAAGCUCACUGCCAGGCACCCUCGGUUCCAGCCUUUGCCAGAGCAUAGCAGCACAGGAAGCAGGCAGGGGCCUCCAACCACUGCUUUGCAACCUGCCUCCUCGCCCUGCCCAGUGCAGGGAUGUGGGGUUGGGGGGACUCUGAGGAUCUAUCCCCCACCCUGCCCCACACCCGCUCCAGAACUCCAGGGUCUCUGGAGCACAAGGGUUCGCUGCUGGCAAGGACUCUUCCCUGCCCCCUCCACCUGCUUCUUCGGGAUCCAGCCCUCUGGUAUUAGUCGUGGGAGCUCUCAAAAUACUUUGGGGUGGAAGAGACUUAAGUUUCCCAGGAAGGCUGGACACAUGAUACUAGAGAAGGCCCCAGAUCUGGAAAGGGUGAGGGCAGGUAGCCUGGGCCCGAGAGCAGGCUCAGUCCCAGAGAAGAACCAUAAAGAACCCAUUCCCGCUGCCUGCUCCCCCACAUCUCCCAGCCCAUGGUGGCUGCAGAGCCAGCCUAGCUCCCGGCUUUGUUCCCAAGCUGUCAAGAGGCUGGGGGCUGUCUUUGGUGCUCUGGCCCCCAAAAACAUCCUGUUGGAUUCUUGCCAGUGGGGAGAGAAGAUGGAAAAAGAAACACCUGGACUUUCAUAAAGUAUAUUCUGCAAAAAACAAGCCAACACAAAACAAGGGCACGGGCCCCAGAGGAGGCUCCUUCUAGAAGAGAUCUGCAUGGAGGACGAGGCCCUCUGGCCACUCCCCAACCCCAGCCUCCUGAAGAGCAGUUGCACGGCCUCCAGCUCUGCCAGGGACCGGGCAGUUGGUCCUUCAAUCCUCUCUACGCCCACCAUGAGGCUGGAUUCUGUCCUGAGGGGCUGAGCAGAGGUGUUGAUCCAAGAGGAAGGGGGAGGGAAGAGGCGGGAGAGAUGAAGAACAGGGAGAGAGAUGGGGAGGAAGGGGGGAGAGAGAGGAACAGGGAGAGAGAUGG
This 3393-nucleotide long non-coding RNA is filed under the name Sus scrofa (pig). Its description in RNAcentral is "lncRNA (ENSSSCG00000059513.1)". Lineage: Eukaryota; Metazoa; Chordata; Mammalia; Artiodactyla; Suidae. The record is from RNAcentral.